RNAcentral lists this ribosomal RNA (504 nucleotides) under uncultured bacterium. Its description in RNAcentral is "partial 16S ribosomal RNA". It matches the Rfam family "Bacterial small subunit ribosomal RNA", at positions 30 to 523 of the family's 1533-position model. The record is from RNAcentral.
AUUGAACGCUGGCGGCAGGCCUAACACAUGCAAGUCGAGCGGUAGCACAGAGAGCUUGCUCUCGGGUGACGAGCGGCGGACGGGUGAGUAAUGUCUGGGAAACUGCCUGAUGGAGGGGGAUAACUACUGGAAACGGUAGCUAAUACCGCAUAACGUCGCAAGACCAAAGAGGGGGACCUUCGGGCCUCUUGCCAUAAGAUGUUCCCAGAUGGGAUUAGCUAGUAGGUGGGGUAACGGCUCACCUAGGCGACGAUCCCUAGCUGGUCUGAGAGGAUGACCAGCCACACUGGAACUGAGACACGGUCCAGACUCCUACGGGAGGCAGAAGUGGGGAAUAUUGCACAAUGGGCGCAAGCCUGAUGGAGCCAUGCCGCGUGUAUGAAGAAGGCCUUGGGGUUGUAAAGUACUUUCAGCGGGGAGGAAGGUGUUGAGGUUAAUAACCUCAGCAAUUGACGUUACCCGCAGAAGAAGCACCGGCUAACUCCGUGCCAGCAGCCGCGGUAA